Molecule: ribosomal RNA, 531 nt
Filed under: uncultured bacterium
Lineage: Bacteria
Description: bacterial SSU rRNA
Rfam family: Bacterial small subunit ribosomal RNA
Source: RNAcentral
AGAGUUUGAUCAUGGCUCAGAUUGAACGCUGGCGGUAUGCUUAACACAUGCAAGUCGAACGCGAACGAGUUCUUCGGAACUUUAUUAGAGUGGCGGACGGGUGAGUAACGCGUAGGAAUCUGCCUAGUAGUGGGGGACAACCUGGUGAAAACCAGGCUAAUACCGCAUACGCCCUACGGGGGAAAGGAUGGGAUCUUCGGACCAUUCGCUAUUAGAUGGGCCUGCGUCGGAUUAGCUAGUUGGUGAGGUAAUGGCUCACCAAGGCGACGAUCCGUAGCUGGUUUGAGAGAACGACCAGCCACACUGGGACUGAGACACGGCCCAGACUCCUACGGGAGGCAGCAGUGGGGAAUAUUGGACAAUGGGGGAAACCCUGAUCCAGCAAUACCGCGUGUGUGAAGAAGGCCCGAGGGUUGUAAAGCACUUUCAAUUGUGAAGAAAAGCAUAAGGUUAAUAGCCUUGUGUCUUGACGUUAACUUUAGAAGAAGCACCGGCUAACUCCGUGCCAGCAGCCGCGGUAAUACGGAGGGU